UACGUAGGGUGCAAGCGUUGUCCGGAAUUAUUGGGCGUAAAGAGCUCGUAGGCGGUCUGUUGCGUCGGCUGUGAAAACCCGGGGCUCAACUCCGGGCCUGCAGCCGAUACGGGCAGACUAGAGUGUGGUAGGGGGAGACUGGAAUUCCUGGUGUAGCGGUGAAAUGCGCAGAUAUCAGGAGGAACACCGAUGGCGAAGGCAGGUCUCUGGGCCAUAACUGACGCUGAGAAGCGAAAGCAUGGGGAGCGAACAGG
RNAcentral lists this ribosomal RNA (254 nucleotides) under uncultured bacterium. RNAcentral's name for it is "partial 16S ribosomal RNA". It matches the Rfam family "Bacterial small subunit ribosomal RNA", at positions 524 to 776 of the family's 1533-position model. The record is from RNAcentral.